RNAcentral lists this ribosomal RNA (600 nucleotides) under Trichoderma harzianum. RNAcentral's name for it is "eukaryotic LSU rRNA". The stretch from base 243 to 396 matches the Rfam family "5.8S ribosomal RNA". Lineage: Eukaryota; Fungi; Ascomycota; Sordariomycetes; Hypocreales; Hypocreaceae. The record is from RNAcentral.
CGGGCUUUUUUUCCCCGGAGGGGGGGCUGGGAGGGAUCAUUACCGAGUUUACAACUCCCAAACCCAAUGUGAACGUUACCAAACUGUUGCCUCGGCGGGAUCUCUGCCCCGGGUGCGUCGCAGCCCCGGACCAAGGCGCCCGCCGGAGGACCAACCAAAACUCUUUUUGUAUACCCCCUCGCGGGUUUUUUAUAAUCUGAGCCUUCUCGGCGCCUCUCGUAGGCGUUUCGAAAAUGAAUCAAAACUUUCAACAACGGAUCUCUUGGUUCUGGCAUCGAUGAAGAACGCAGCGAAAUGCGAUAAGUAAUGUGAAUUGCAGAAUUCAGUGAAUCAUCGAAUCUUUGAACGCACAUUGCGCCCGCCAGUAUUCUGGCGGGCAUGCCUGUCCGAGCGUCAUUUCAACCCUCGAACCCCUCCGGGGGGUCGGCGUUGGGGAUCGGCCCUCCCUUAGCGGGGGCCGUCUCCGAAAUACAGUGGCGGUCUCGCCGCAGCCUCUCCUGCGCAGUAGUUUGCACACUCGCAUCGGGAGCGCGGCGCGUCCACAGCCGUUAAACACCCAACUUCUGAAAUGUGACCUCGGAUCAGGAGGAUAGCCCAGUU